This 617-nucleotide ribosomal RNA is filed under the name Listeria monocytogenes. RNAcentral describes it as "bacterial SSU rRNA". It matches the Rfam family "Bacterial small subunit ribosomal RNA", at positions 1 to 600 of the family's 1533-position model. The record is from RNAcentral. Lineage: Bacteria; Bacillati; Bacillota; Bacilli; Caryophanales; Listeriaceae.
UUAAAGAGAGUUUGAUCCUGGCUCAGGACGAACGCUGGCGGCGUGCCUAAUACAUGCAAGUCGAACGAACGGAGGAAGAGCUUGCUCUUCCAAAGUUAGUGGCGGACGGGUGAGUAACACGUGGGCAACCUGCCUGUAAGUUGGGGAUAACUCCGGGAAACCGGGGCUAAUACCGAAUGAUAAAGUUUGGCGCAUGCCACGCUUUUGAAAGAUGGUUUCGGCUAUCGCUUACAGAUGGGCCCGCGGUGCAUUAGCUAGUUGGUAGGGUAAUGGCCUACCAAGGCAACGAUGCAUAGCCGACCUGAGAGGGUGAUCGGCCACACUGGGACUGAGACACGGCCCAGACUCCUACGGGAGGCAGCAGUAGGGAAUCUUCCGCAAUGGACGAAAGUCUGACGGAGCAACGCCGCGUGUAUGAAGAAGGUUUUCGGAUCGUAAAGUACUGUUGUUAGAGAAGAACAAGGAUAAGAGUAACUGCUUGUCCCUUGACGGUAUCUAACCAGAAAGCCACGGCUAACUACGUGCCAGCAGCCGCGGUAAUACGUAGGUGGCAAGCGUUGUCCGGAUUUAUUGGGCGUAAAGCGCGCGCAGGCGGUCUUUUAAGUCUGAUGUGAAAG